This 494-nucleotide ribosomal RNA is filed under the name uncultured bacterium. RNAcentral's name for it is "partial 16S ribosomal RNA". It matches the Rfam family "Bacterial small subunit ribosomal RNA", at positions 28 to 507 of the family's 1533-position model. The record is from RNAcentral.
GACGAACGCUGGCGGCGCGCUUAACACAUGCAAGUCGAACGGAAAGGCCUGCUUUCCCUUGUGGAUUGCGGGUACUCGAGUGGCGAACGGGUGAGUAACACGUGAGUGAUCUGCCCCCAACUUGGGUAUAAGCCUGGGAAACUGGGUCUAAUUCCCGAUAGGACUGCAGGGUGGUGCCUGUGGUGGAAAACGAUUUUCUAGUGGUUGGGGAUGAGCUCGCGGCCUAUCAGCUUGUUGGUGGGGUAAUGGCCUACCAAGGCGGCGACGGGUAGCCGGCCUGGGAGGGUGGACGGCCACAUUGGGACUGAGAGACGGCCCAGACUCCUACGGGAGGCAGCAGUGGGGAAUAUUGCACAAUGGGCGGAAGCCUGAUGCAGCGACGCCGCGUGGGGGAUGACGGCCUUCGGGUUGUAAACUCCUUUCGACCGCGAGGAAGCCACCUGGUUGGAAGGGUGGUGACGGUAGUGGUAGAAGAAGCACCGGCUAACUACGUG